UACGUAGGGGGCAAGCGUUGUCCGGAUUUAUUGGGCGUAAAGAGCGUGUAGGCGGCCAGACAGGUCAGCUGUGAAAACUCGAGGCUCAACCUCGAGACGUCGGUUGAAACCGUCUGGCUAGAGUCCGGAAGAGGAGAGUGGAAUUCCCGGUGUAGCGGUGAAAUGCGCAGAUAUCAGGAAGAACACCAAUGGCGAAGGCAGCUCUCUGGGACGGUACUGACGCUGAGACGCGAAAGCGUGGGGAGCGAACAGG
RNAcentral lists this ribosomal RNA (253 nucleotides) under uncultured bacterium. Its description in RNAcentral is "partial 16S ribosomal RNA". It matches the Rfam family "Bacterial small subunit ribosomal RNA", at positions 524 to 776 of the family's 1533-position model. The record is from RNAcentral.